This 253-nucleotide ribosomal RNA is filed under the name uncultured bacterium. Its description in RNAcentral is "partial 16S ribosomal RNA". It matches the Rfam family "Bacterial small subunit ribosomal RNA", at positions 524 to 776 of the family's 1533-position model. The record is from RNAcentral.
UACGGAGGGUGCAAGCGUUGUUCGGAUUGAUUGGGCGUAAAGCGCACGUAGGCUGGCUCAUAAGUCGAUUGUGAAAUCCCUGGGCUUAACCCGGGAACUGCAGUCGAAACUGUAAGCCUUGAAUGCUUGAGGGGUCAGUGGAAUUCUUGGUGUAGGAGUGAAAUCCGUAGAUAUCAAGAGGAAUACCAGAGGCGAAGGCGACUGACUGGUGAUGCAUUGACGCUGAGGUGCGAAAGCGCGGGGAGCAAACAGG